AGCGAACGCUAGCGGCGGGCCUAACACAUGCAAGUCGAGCGCAUACCUUCGGGUAUGAGCGGCGGACGGGUGAGUAACGCGUAGGUCAUCUACCCUUUGGUGGGGGAUAACCCAGGGAAACUUGGGCUAAUACCGCACGAGGUCUACGGAUCAAAGCCUUCGGGCGCCAGAGGAUGAGCCUGCGUCGCAUUACCUAGUUGGCGGGGUAACGGCCCACCAAGGGGACGAUGCGUAGCUGGUCUGAGAGGAUGAUCAGCCACACUGGGACUGAGACACGGCCCAGACUCCUACGGGAGGCAGCAGUGGGGAAUAUUGCGCAAUGGGGGAAACCCCGACGCAGCCACGCCGCGUGGGUGAUGAAGGCCUUCGGGUUGUAAAGCCCUGUCGGGAGGGACGAAUUCUUGACGGUACCUCCAAAGAAAGCACCGGCUAACUCCGUGCCAGCAGCCGCGGU
Molecule: ribosomal RNA, 454 nt
Filed under: uncultured bacterium
Lineage: Bacteria
Description: bacterial SSU rRNA
Rfam family: Bacterial small subunit ribosomal RNA
Source: RNAcentral